GGAAUCUUCGGCAAUGGGGGCAACCCUGACCGAGCAACGCCGCGUGAGUGAAGAAGGGUUUCGGCUCGUAAAGCUCUGUUGUUAAAGAAGAACACGUAUGAGAGUAACUGUUCAUACGUUGACGGUAUUUAACCAGAAAGUCACGGCUAACUACGUGCCG
RNAcentral lists this ribosomal RNA (160 nucleotides) under uncultured bacterium. RNAcentral describes it as "partial 16S rRNA". It matches the Rfam family "Bacterial small subunit ribosomal RNA", at positions 358 to 510 of the family's 1533-position model. The record is from RNAcentral.